Long non-coding RNA from Phasianus colchicus (ring-necked pheasant), 1599 nucleotides. The record is from Ensembl. NCBI's taxonomy places the organism in Eukaryota, Metazoa, Chordata, Aves, Galliformes, Phasianidae.
GGGGUCAAUGUGGGGUAGGGGGCUAUGAGACCCCCAAGUGUGGGGUCUAUGGGGUCAAUGUGGGGUAGGGAGCUACAGGACCCCCAAGUGUGGGGUUUUGUGGGGCUGAAUGUGGGGUAGGGGGCUAUGGGACCCCCAAGUGUGGGGUUUUGUGGGGUCAAUGUGGGGUAGGGGGCUACAGGAUCCCAAUUGCAGGGUUUGUGGGGUCGAUGUGGGGCAGGGGGCCAUGGGACCCCCAAGUGUGGGGUUUGGGGUGGUCGAUGUGGGGCAGGGGGCCACGGGACCCCCAAGUGUGGGGCUGUGGGAUGCUCCAUACCUUCUUGUAGGGCACGCAGGGGUUCAUCGCUGCCUCCGGCCGCUUCCAAAGCUGCCCCCAAAAGACCCCAAAUAGUUUUGGGGCCGCCCCACAGCGCACCCCAAACUGCACCCCGCACCCAACCCCACGCUGACUCACGGGGCCUCACGUGCCCCACAGACGGGGAGGGGAAGUGGGACGGCCCCAAAAUGGGAGGGUUUCCCUGGGGGUGUGGGGCAGGAUGGGGUUAUAGGGACUGGGGUGGGAUUGGGGGCGGGAGCGGGGGGUGUUUGGGGCGGAUUUUGGGAUGUUUGGGUGUUUUGGGGGCAGAUUUGGGGAUGUUUGGGGGGGAUUUGGGGUCAGGGAUGGGAUUGGGGUCAGGAUUUGGGGAUGUUUGGGGCAGAUUUGGGAUAUUUGGGUGUUUUGGGGGCAGAUUUGGGGAUGUUUGGGGUGGAUUUGGGGUCAGGGAUGGGGUUGGAGUCGGGAUUUGGGGAUAUUUGGGAUGGAUUUGGGAUAUUUGGGUGUUUUUGGGGCAGAUUUGGGAAUGUUUGGGGUGGAUUUGGGGUCAGGGAUGGGAUUGGGGUCGGGAUUUGGGGACAUUUGGGGUGGAUUUGGGGUCAGGUAUGGGACUGAGGUCGGAAUUUGGGGUCAUUUGGGGCCAUUUGGGUGUUUUGGGGUCAGGAUUUGGGGCCAUUUGGGGCGGAUUUGGGGCCAUUUGUGGUACUUUAGGCUGAGGACUGGGGGAUAUUUGGGGUCAGCGAUGGGACUGGGGUCGGAAUUUGGGGAUAUUUGGGGCCAUUUGGGGACUUUUGGGGUAUUUCAGGCUCAGGGUCGGCGAUCUUUGGGGUCGGGGUGGAUUUUGGGGUGGAUUUUGGGGGGGAUUUGGGGCCAUUUUGGGGACAAUGUGGGGCUCCAACCACGUCCAGCCCGAGAUGUGGCGGAUUUGGGGCAUUUUGGGGCAUUUCGGGCGGAUUUCGGGCGGAUUUCGGGCGGAUUUCGGGCGGAUUUCGGGCGGAUUUCGGCCACUUUCGACCCUUUUCCCCCCCGCCCCCCCAGCCGUACCGGAGGUCCCGNNNNNNNNNNNNNNNNGGCGGAUCCGGGGGGCGGCGCCCGCCGCCGCGCUGCGCUCUAUGAUCACCGCUCCUGUUUGUGCCGGGGCGCGGAGUUAUGACGUCACGUCCGGCUCCCCGCGGUCAGCACUUCCGGUUGGGGCCUGGACGGGAGGGUCCGCGAGGCGACGCGAUGGGGCGGGGGAGGUGUGUGGGGAAAUGGGGCGGGGGGAGACGGAGGGGGCUGUGGGGCAG